This 458-nucleotide ribosomal RNA is filed under the name Torulaspora indica. RNAcentral describes it as "partial large subunit ribosomal RNA". It matches the Rfam family "Eukaryotic large subunit ribosomal RNA", at positions 158 to 629 of the family's 3401-position model. The record is from RNAcentral. Lineage: Eukaryota; Fungi; Ascomycota; Saccharomycetes; Saccharomycetales; Saccharomycetaceae.
GUAACUUUGGGGCUGGUCCUUGUCUAUGUUCCUUGGAACAGGACGUCAUAGAGGGUGAGAAUCCCGUGUGGCGAGGAUCCCAGCUUCUAUGUAAAGUGCUUUCGAAGAGUCGAGUUGUUUGGGAAUGCAGCUCUAAGUGGGUGGUAAAUUCCAUCUAAAGCUAAAUAUUGGCGAGAGACCGAUAGCGAACAAGUACAGUGAUGGAAAGAUGAAAAGAACUUUGAAAAGAGAGUGAAAAAGUACGUGAAAUUGUUGAAAGGGAAGGGCAUUUGAUCAGACAUGGUGUUUUGCGCCCUCUGCUCCUCGUGGGUGGGGGAAUCUCGCAGCUCACUGGGCCAGCAUCAGUUUUGGCGGUAGGAUAAAUCUGCAGGAAUGUAGCUUGCUUCGGCAAGUGUUAUAGCCUGUUGAAAUACUGCCAGCCGGGACUGAGGACUGCGACUUUUAGUCAAGGAUGCUGG